Molecule: ribosomal RNA, 253 nt
Filed under: uncultured bacterium
Lineage: Bacteria
Description: partial 16S ribosomal RNA
Rfam family: Bacterial small subunit ribosomal RNA
Source: RNAcentral
UGCGUAGGCAGCGAGCGUUGUUCGGAGUUACUGGGCGUAAAGAGUGCGUAGGCGGUUUUCUAAGUUUGGUGUGAAAUCUCCCGGCUCAACUGGGAGGGUGCGCCGAAGACUGGAAGGCUUGAGUAUGGGAGAGGUAAGCGGAAUUCCUGGUGUAGCGGUGAAAUGCGUAGAUAUCAGGAGGAACACCUGCGGUGUAGACGGCUUACUGGACCAUAACUGACGCUGAGGCACGAAAGCGUGGGUAGCAAACAGG